UGCACUAUUUGACGUUUACCUACAGAAGAAAGCACCGGCUAACUCCGUGCCAGCAGCCGCGGUAAUACGGAGGGUGCGAGCGUUAAUCGGAAUUACUGGGCGUAAAGCGCAUGCAGGCGGCCUGUUAAGUCAGAUGUGAAAGACCCGGGGCGUUAACCUCGGAAUUGCAUUUGAAACUAGGCAGGCUAGAGUCUUGUAGAGGGGGUAGGAAGUUUCAGGUGUAGCGGUGAAAUAGCGUAGAGAUCUGAAGGAAUACCAGUGGCGAAGGCGGCCCCCUCGGACAAAGACUGACGCUCAGAUGCGAAAGCGUGGGGAGCAAACAGGAUUAGAUACCCUGGUAG
This 341-nucleotide ribosomal RNA is filed under the name uncultured bacterium. RNAcentral describes it as "bacterial SSU rRNA". It matches the Rfam family "Bacterial small subunit ribosomal RNA", at positions 461 to 793 of the family's 1533-position model. The record is from RNAcentral.